Molecule: ribosomal RNA, 253 nt
Filed under: uncultured bacterium
Lineage: Bacteria
Description: partial 16S ribosomal RNA
Rfam family: Bacterial small subunit ribosomal RNA
Source: RNAcentral
UACGUAGGGUGCGAGCGUUAAUCGGAAUUACUGGGCGUAAAGCGUGCGCAGGCGGUUCGUUAAGUCAGCUGUGAAAGCCCCGGGCUCAACCUGGGAAUUGCGGUUGAAACUGGCGAACUAGAAUCUGGCAGAGGGGGGUGGAAUUCCACGUGUAGCAGUGAAAUGCGUAGAGAUGUGGAGGAACACCGAUGGCGAAGGCAGCCCCCUGGGCUAAGAUUGACGCUCAGGCACGAAAGCGUGGGGAGCAAACAGG